RNAcentral lists this ribosomal RNA (497 nucleotides) under uncultured bacterium. RNAcentral's name for it is "partial 16S ribosomal RNA". It matches the Rfam family "Bacterial small subunit ribosomal RNA", at positions 28 to 507 of the family's 1533-position model. The record is from RNAcentral.
GAUGAACGCUGGCGGCGUGCCUAAUACAUGCAAGUCGAGCGAACAGACGAGGAGCUUGCUCCUCUGACGUUAGCGGCGGACGGGUGAGUAACACGUGGAUAACCUACCUAUAAGACUGGGAUAACUUCGGGAAACCGGAGCUAAUACCGGAGAAUAUAUUGAACCGCAUGGUUCAAUAGUGAAAGACGGUGUUGCUGUCACUUAUAGAUGGAUCCGCGCCGCAUUAGCUAGUUGGUAAGGUAACGGCUUACCAAGGCAACGAUGCGUAGCCGACCUGAGAGACUGAUCGGCCACACUGGAACUGAGACGCGCUCCAGACUCCUACGGGAGGCAGCAGUAGGGAACCUUCGGCAAUGGGCGAAAGCCUGACGGAGCAACGCCGCGUGAGUGAUGACGGCCUUCGGAUCGUAAAACUCUGUUAUUAGGGAAGAACAACUGUGUAAGUAACUAUGCACGUCUUGACGGUACCUAAUCAGAAAGCCCCGGCUAACUACGUG